UAGGAAUAUGCAGAAGAAUAAUUUGGAUGACGGGCAGUUGAUGGAUAUAGAUUUGAUGGCUCAGGACUUGAACUUGUUCUUAAAAGAGCAGAGGAUCAAAAUUGAGAAAAUCUUGAGCGGGGAAAUCAGAAGAAAGGCCAAGAUUGUGCUCUCUGGACCUUCAAACAGCUAAGUUUUGUUGUAGUAUUGCAUAUUUCUUUUCUUUUUCUUUUUGUUUAUCCCUCUUGACUAGAGAUUGAUCAACUAACCUCUUUUAGCAAUUAAGCCUUAAACCAAAUUAUGAGAGCACUGAAUGGCAAAACGAAAAUCAGAAAUAGGCAGAGCAAACACGUGAAUUCAUUGUGGCUCACUUUAUAAGUGAGAGCUACAUCCACUUCACAUGGAUAUAGGGCAACCGAGUACAAGUAAGGAAUACCCAAUAGAUCAUUAAAAAAUUGGCGGUCAAGGGAUACUGACGGAAUAAUUAUAUGAUUAUAAGGGGACAAUUUUAACUUAGCCUGGUCUUACAUUUUUGUGUGGUUUAGGUACGAGCUUGAUGGUAGCAGCAAUAUGUUAUGCUUGGUUGUUGGAAAAUAGAAUGAAGGCUGAUAAGAUAAGAGGAGAGGGAGACAGGAGCAAUUUCGAGUUGAUCGUACCUGUGAUGAAUAUUUGGAGACAAAAUGUGGAAGAAGCAUCAAGCGGCUUGGCUUUUCGACCGUGUUCGCCUUGAUGCCACUGCUUUGUUCUUUUCUAAUGAGAAUUCACUAGUUUUCAGCACGAAAGACAAAAUGGAUGAACAAGGAAAUUUCGAAGAGAGAAGAUUGAAAAGGCAUCUCACAGCCAGGAACAUCAUCUAGUAUCUGCUUAUAAUCAGCUUUCAGGUAUUCUAUUGGACACACAAAAUUUGAAUUUGUUUCCCAAGUUGUCCGUGACUAGAGAUGCAGAGGCAGUUCAGCUUCUGUUAGGCGGAUCAGCCCCCAAUUAUAGGAAUUUUCUUUUCGAUAAAUUGAUGCAAGACAAUAGAGAUGAUAGAUUCCUUGAAGUUUUGCAUCACAACUACGGGAAGCCCCUCAACAAAAGUUCUUGGGACGGUCAAGCACAAAUUGAGCAUAGGAUUUGGGAGAAAAAAACUUCCAAUGAAGUAAAUGCAUCAGUUGGAGACAAAUAUUAGAAUGAUGCAAAAGAUGCACCAGUAAAGAAAGUUUCACCAAUUUCAGGUAAGCUAUAAUACAAUCUCGUUUUUAUAUAUUUUCUUCGAUUCAACUCCAAAGUAACACGAAAAUUCUAGCGUUUGCCUCCGAAAGGAAACAAGACGUUUCUUAACUAAGCAAAUGAUUUUUAAACAGAAGUUUUGAAACAAUAUUUUAUAUUGAAACUAUUUUGCCAAGUAAUUUCACUUGAAACAUUUAGCAACCAAUAAUUUUGUAAUGGCGUGUCUCUCUCCAACGAAGAAUAAGUCUACACUGCCAUCACUUUUCUAUAGGUAAGCGUUUACAACCUCAUGUGCAUCCUCAGAUGAAGGCACCUGCAAAAGAAACCGAUGCCUCUCGUGGAAAGAAUAAAAACUUCUUCACAAAAUUGUUUGGCUUGGCUCAUAAUAAAUAAAAAAAGGGACAUUGUUAUGUACUUAUGCGAGUUAAGAUUAUGACCCGUACAAUCAUAGAGGUUCUA
Long non-coding RNA from Olea europaea var. sylvestris, 1650 nucleotides. RefSeq lists it as uncharacterized. NCBI's taxonomy places the organism in Eukaryota, Viridiplantae, Streptophyta, Magnoliopsida, Lamiales, Oleaceae. The transcript is spliced from 4 exons. The record is from RefSeq and is a predicted model, not a curated record.